This 484-nucleotide ribosomal RNA is filed under the name uncultured bacterium. RNAcentral's name for it is "partial 16S ribosomal RNA". It matches the Rfam family "Bacterial small subunit ribosomal RNA", at positions 29 to 507 of the family's 1533-position model. The record is from RNAcentral.
AUUGAACGCUGGCGGCAUGCUUUACACAUGCAAGUCGAACGGCAGCGCGGGCUUCGGCCUGGCGGCGAGUGGCGAACGGGUGAGUAAUACAUCGGAACGUUCCCAGUAGUGGGGGAUAGCACGGCGAAAGCCGGAUUAAUACCGCAUACGACCUGAGGGUGAAAGCGGGGGAUCUUCGGACCUCGCGCCUUUGGAGCGGCCGAUGGCAGAUUCGCUAGUUGGUGGGGUAAAGGCCUACCAAGGCGACGAUCUGUAGCUGGUCUGAGAGGACGACCAGCCACACUGGGACUGAGACACGGCCCAGACUCCUGCGGGAGGCAGCAGUGGGGAAUUUUGGACAAUGGGCGAAAGCCUGAUCCAGCAAUGCCGCGUGUGUGAUGAAGGCCUUCGGGUUGUAAAGCACUUUUGGCGGGAACGAAAAGGACUGUGCCAAUACCACGGUUCGAUGACGGUACCCGCAGAAUAAGCACCGGCUAACUACGUG